UGUCUUCAUGCUAGUGCUGUUUUGUUGUAUUUGUGAUUUUGUGCUUAUAUUUGUUAAAAUAAAUGUCACAUUUGAGUUUCACCAUGAAGAUUCGAAAUUGUCUUAAUUCAUUCAAUAUCAAAUUUAUUUGCCAACUAGUCGAUGACUAAUGGUACCCGACUAGUCAACUAAUGAUUUUCAAUAGUCGUCCCAACCCUAGUGUAUAUCCAUACUUCCUUUUGUCACCGUACUUGGUCAGGAGA
This is a long non-coding RNA of Thalassophryne amazonica, 242 nucleotides long. RefSeq lists it as uncharacterized. The record is from RefSeq and is a predicted model, not a curated record. The transcript has 3 exons. NCBI's taxonomy places the organism in Eukaryota, Metazoa, Chordata, Actinopteri, Batrachoidiformes, Batrachoididae.